RNAcentral lists this ribosomal RNA (598 nucleotides) under Haemophilus influenzae. Its description in RNAcentral is "bacterial SSU rRNA". It matches the Rfam family "Bacterial small subunit ribosomal RNA", at positions 88 to 682 of the family's 1533-position model. Lineage: Bacteria; Pseudomonadati; Pseudomonadota; Gammaproteobacteria; Pasteurellales; Pasteurellaceae. The record is from RNAcentral.
CUGACGAGUGGCGGACGGGUGAGUAAUGCUUGGGAAUCUGGCUUAUGGAGGGGGAUAACGACGGGAAACUGUCGCUAAUACCGCGUAUUAUCGGAAGAUGAAAGUGCGGGACUGAGAGGCCGCAUGCCAUAGGAUGAGCCCAAGUGGGAUUAGGUAGUUGGUGGGGUAAAAGCCUACCAAGCCUGCGAUCUCUAGCUGGUCUGAGAGGAUGACCAGCCACACUGGAACUGAGACACGGUCCAGACUCCUACGGGAGGCAGCAGUGGGGAAUAUUGCGCAAUGGGGGGAACCCUGACGCAGCCAUGCCGCGUGAAUGAAGAAGGCCUUAGGGUUGUAAAGUUCUUUCGGUAUUGAGGAAGGUUGAUGUGUUAAUAGCACAUCAAAUUGACGUUAAAUACAGAAGAAGCACCGGCUAACUCCGUGCCAGCAGCCGCGGUAAUACGGAGGGUGCGAGCGUUAAUCGGAAUAACUGGGCGUAAAGGGCACGCAGGCGGUUAUUUAAGUGAGGUGUGAAAGCCCCGGGCUUAACCUGGGAAUUGCAUUUCAGACUGGGUAACUAGAGUACUUUAGGGAGGGGUAGAAUUCCACGUGUAGCGGU